UACGUAGGGGGCAAGCGUUGUCCGGAUUUAUUGGGCGUAAAGAGCGUGUAGGUGGUCGUACAGGUCAGCUGUGAAAACUCGAGGCUCAACCUCGAGACGUCGGUUGAAACCGUAUGGCUAGAGUCCGGAAGAGGAGAGUGGAAUUCCCGGUGUAGCGGUGAAAUGCGCAGAUAUCGGGAAGAACACCCGUGGCGAAGGCGGCUCUCUGGGACGGUACUGACGCUGAGACGCGAAAGCGUGGGGAGCAAACAGG
Molecule: ribosomal RNA, 253 nt
Filed under: uncultured bacterium
Lineage: Bacteria
Description: partial 16S ribosomal RNA
Rfam family: Bacterial small subunit ribosomal RNA
Source: RNAcentral